CCUACGGGAGACAGCAGUGGGGAAUAUUGGGCAAUGGGCGCAAGCCUGACCCAGCAACGCCGCGUGAAGGAAGAAGGCUUUCGGGUUGUAAACUUCUGUUGUCAGGGAAGAGUAGAAGACGGUACCUGACGAAUCAGCCACGGCUAACUACGUGCCAGCAGCCGCGGUAAUACGUAGGUGGCAAGCGUUAUCCGGAUUUACUGGGUGUAAAGGGCGUGUAGCCGGGUUGACAAGUCAGAUGUGAAAUCCUGCGGCUUAACCGCAGAACUGCAUUUGAAACUGUUGAUCUUGAGUACUGGAGAGGCAGACGGAAUUCCUAGUGUAGCGGUGAAAUGCGUAGAUAUUAGGAGGAACACCAGUGGCGAAGGCGGUCUGCUGGACAGCAACUGACGGUGAGGCGCGAAAGCGUGGGGAGCAAACAGGAUUAGAUACCCGAGUAGUC
This 442-nucleotide ribosomal RNA is filed under the name uncultured bacterium. RNAcentral describes it as "partial 16S ribosomal RNA". It matches the Rfam family "Bacterial small subunit ribosomal RNA", at positions 338 to 795 of the family's 1533-position model. The record is from RNAcentral.